UAUUAUAUUUUUAGGGCUCAUUCGAUCAACAAAACUUCCUGUGAUAUGUUCUUUAUUGUAGGAACGUGAUUUUAACUGACACCAGAUUAUUUUCAAGAAUUAUUUGCUUAUUUUAACCAAUACAUAUGCUACUUGUUUCCUUUUUUAUAUCACGUUGACAACUCACAUGAUUUACAUUUGAGGAAGAGGAGACACGUUGGGCAACAUUACAUGGUCUACAGUUGAGCCAUACCGGCCGCGUUCCGAACCAAGAUAACACAACACGUAUUGAAGAUCCACGUCCAAGGCAGGAACAUAACAAGAUUUGUCCACGUUGAGAAGUCUGGGGGUCUUAAGCCUCUAGUUACGUAUAUAUACUCGGACGGAAUUCAGUCUUCCAUUAGACUGCAUAGAUCUGGCGAAGCUGAUCGCAGCUAAGUGAUCAUUUAAACUCCCGCUAACCUUGUCUUAAAAUGUAUCAAAACUACCCCACCAGGAGCCUCAGUCCUAACACUAACUCCAAUCUGGAGCUAGUGGCAGAGUAUCUCGCCUCAAAGGGGUACGGCGAUCAUGAUCUUGGUGAAAACAACACUGAGUUUGGCCACAGUGCAGGUACGGGACACACUCCACCUGGCAGCGCACCGGUUCUCCAGGACACCCAAACUUGGCACGCACAGACUCUCUACCAGCUCGACCCAAGACAAAUGGACCUGGGAGUCGUGACACCAGAUCGAGUGUGGCGGCAGUCUAACCCUUUAUUAGUGGAGCCAGCAAGUCUAAGUAGCACACCGCCCAGCUCGGACGCGUCACCCCCCUACAGCUGCCCCUCGCUGCAGGCUUCAGGCGGGCGUGAGCAGAGUCCAAAUCUCUUCCCGCAAGCAGAGGGCUGUUCAUUAAAUAGAAUAGAUUGGCAGAAUGGCCAGUUCAUUAACACGUUAACGCCCGUGAACCAAUCUUGUGGACCGAGUGAUAGUUUGGAGUCGAAUUUCGAUCAACUUUUGGUAAAUGACCCCAGCAAUACGUCGGGAAAGUCCAGGCGGGGCGCGCCUCACCGCCACAAGAGACAGUUCCUUGAGGGAGAGGAGAAGUUAAAGCGAAACCGUGAGUUGAACAACGAGGCGUCACGGAUUCACCGCCACAGUAAGCGGACGAACAACGAGCAACGACUCAACGAGUGUCAGAGACUUGAGCUAAGGAAUCAGCAACUUCGAGAGAAGUGCUGUUUGUUAGAGAAGGAAGCUCUGAUGUACCGUGAGGUGGUAGAGCCCUUCCUGAGACACCAUGGCUAUGAGCCGGCUGCACGUUACUCCACCUUGCCCCAAACGCCCGACCCCUACCCCAACCCAGCGAAUCACUUUCAUCAUGGAAUGUGAAAAACAACUGUUAAUUCUUCUAUUUAAUUUAUUUAUCUAUUUAUUCAUUAACUAAUUUAUUCGACGACUUAUCAUAUUACUUCAAAGUACUUAUAAUUUGCAUUGAGAUUAAUGCUUUAUUGACUACAUUACACCAGUUUAUCACCUCUUGCAUAUUCACUGAGUAAAUUUUGUUCUGUCGUUCAAGUCUAGCCUGUCGAGUUCGUAAACAUUCAUAGCCCAGUGAUACAAAAAUGUAAUCAAAUAUGUACUGUAUAUGAAAUAAAAUUAGUAAAUAAUA
This is a long non-coding RNA of Eriocheir sinensis (Chinese mitten crab), 1632 nucleotides long. RefSeq lists it as uncharacterized. The transcript has 2 exons. NCBI's taxonomy places the organism in Eukaryota, Metazoa, Arthropoda, Malacostraca, Decapoda, Varunidae. The record is from RefSeq and is a predicted model, not a curated record.